Molecule: ribosomal RNA, 483 nt
Filed under: uncultured bacterium
Lineage: Bacteria
Description: partial 16S ribosomal RNA
Rfam family: Bacterial small subunit ribosomal RNA
Source: RNAcentral
AUUGAACGCUGGCGGCAGGCCUAACACAUGCAAGUCGAGCGGAUGAAGGGAGCUUGCUCCUGGAUUCAGCGGCGGACGGGUGAGUAAUGCCUAGGAAUCUGCCUGGUAGUGGGGGAUAACGUCCGGAAACGGGCGCUAAUACCGCAUACGUCCUGAGGGAGAAAGUGGGGGAUCUUCGGACCUCACGCUAUCAGAUGAGCCUAGGUCGGAUUAGCUAGUUGGUGGGGUAAAGGCCUACCAAGGCGACGAUCCGUAACUGGUCUGAGAGGAUGAUCAGUCACACGGGAACUGAGAAACGGUCCAGAAUCCUAGGGGAGGCAGCAGGGGGGAAUAUGGGACAAUGGGCGAAAGCCUGAUCCAGCCAUGCCGCGUGUGUGAAGAAGGUCUUCGAAUUGUAAAGCACUUUAAGUUGGGAGGAAGGGCAGUAAGUUAAUACCUUGCUUUUUUGGCGUUACCAAAAGAAUAAGCAGCGGCUAACUUCGU